RNAcentral lists this long non-coding RNA (1706 nucleotides) under Mustela putorius furo (domestic ferret). RNAcentral's name for it is "lncRNA (ENSMPUG00000029364.1)". Lineage: Eukaryota; Metazoa; Chordata; Mammalia; Carnivora; Mustelidae. The record is from RNAcentral.
UUUUUGUGUGGUAAUGCAUUACUACAGUUUAGACAUCAAAAUGAUAAUAAAAGCUGUAUUUUGGGAAGUAUUCCUUCCACUUCUGUCCCUUUCUACCCCAUUCCUUCAACUCCCUUAUCCCCAAAGGUACUAACUACUUUUUUUAGUUUCACCUGAUUCCCUAGGGUCACACUGAUUUGUUUCAAUGAUGAUGAUAUUUGGCAUUCAACAGGGAACCAGGCAAUCAGGCUCUAAGGAUAUCAGAGAUGCUGUUCUAUGGAGGAAAACAAGCACGGAGCUGCUUCCAGAGAGGCUCACAGCCGCAGCAUGGGCAGCAGGGAACAUCUCCAGGGAGAGCCGUCCUCCCCUCCAGGAGUGCUCCACGGCACUGCCUCUGGUGGAGGGGAAUUUUGCUUGUUGUCUAUGUCCUCUUUGUGAACCUGCCUGUGAUUGAUUAAGAGCCAGCUCUGCUUAGGAGGGUGCAGAAGGCAUCUAGGGAGGAGAUGACAAAGGCCUUCAGUUAAUUCCGCUAAAUAAUCUUCUGGGGACCUUCCAAUCAUGGAGUGCUAACCACUAAAUUGCUAAUUAAGUGCCCAGUUAACCUUAUUAAUAAUACUAACUGCACAGGGGCCUCCCUGAUUCUGCUGGAAUGUAUGCUAACGGGGCUAUAAAAAGGCAGCCGUGUUGAGUUCUCAUGAAUGUUUGCACAGGAGAAAGCAUUCAGACAACAACUAAGCAUUCCUUUUGACAUUUGUAUUAAAUUGCUCAUUAGGUUUAUUGUGGAAAUUAAAUUACUGCAAAGCACUGUCCAUUAAUUCCUGAUUAGGCCUGAAUGGCUGUGCUGAUGCAAGUCUGGGCUGUGGUGGAGUUGCUUAGUUAUGUGUGGGCAGGCUGCUAGGUGGUCUGGAUUGCUCAGGAGCCUGGAAAGGGAACAGAUGCUCUAAGCAGAGGGGCUCCAUUUCAGAGAAGCCAGUGAUCAUGCAGAGGAACCAGCAGGACUGAUGUAAUGGGUCUCUGGAACAAGACUGAGCAAGAAGACAUAGUCUUUUGGCUAAUAAGGUUUUGAGUCUAGAAUGGACUUGUUUAUCUGAUGAUGGUACAAAAAUCCCUGCCUUGAAGAUAUUUAUUUGGGAAAAAUGGGAAGUAUAGCAUAAUGAUUAAGAAUAGGGGUUCUGAUGCCAGGCUGCUUGGGUUUGAAUCUUGGCCAACUAACCAAUUUUGAAGAUAACUCUGAUUAUACUCAGAACUUUCUGAAAAGAAUAUUUUAAAGAACAAACAGAAAGUUCACAGACAAUUUUUAAUUCAUUCUAUCUAAGAAUCCAUGUCUAAGUACCUCUCCAGUUCAUAAACACCCCAUGCUGAUGUUUUCUCUUUGAAGUGUGUAGACAUGAUUCUUUAUAUUUUAUUGGCUGAAUGGUGAUGCAGGGAGUGGUUGGAGGUUUAAAAUUUUUGCUUAUUCUGGGGGCUUAAGGCGGUAGGAGAAGAAUAAAUGAAACAAGAUGGGAUUGGGAGGGAGACAAACCAUAAGUGACUCUUAAUCUCACAAAACAAACUGAGGGUUGCUAGGGGGUUGGGGGUUAGGAGAAGGGGGGUGGGGUUAUGGACAUUGGGGAGGGUAUGUGCUUUGGUGAGUGCUGUGAAGUGUGUAAACCUGGCGAUUCACAGACCUGUACCCCUGGGGAUAAAAAUAUAUUACAUGUUUAUAAAAAAUAAAAAAUUAAACAAAC